Gorilla gorilla gorilla (western lowland gorilla) is the source of this 36661-nucleotide long non-coding RNA. RefSeq lists it as uncharacterized. The record is from RefSeq and is a predicted model, not a curated record. The transcript is spliced from 4 exons. Lineage: Eukaryota; Metazoa; Chordata; Mammalia; Primates; Hominidae.
GGGGGAAGGGAAAAGCAAAAGCGGGGAAAGAAGCCGGGGAGCGGUGGACCAGACACUCAGACCUCCUGAAAGGCUCCUGCGGAGGCAGAGGCGGGAUCUUCCGGAGGUGAGAAUUGUUUUUUUAUUGUAGCAGAAUGGGGAGGAAUUGAGGGGAAAAUGGAGAUAGAACCUGAAAGAGCCCCAAACGCGAGAACGUGUAGCUCCCCAAGAGUAAGAUCUUACAGAAGAGCUAGACCGAAAACUAGGCGUCUGGGAAGGCUGAAAUCCUUGGAGGAGUGGCAUCAUCAUGACCCUCUGUGUUCUCACUUAUAAGUGGGAGCUGAAUGAUGAGAAUACAUGGACAGAUAGAGUGGGGGUGGGGACAACACACACUCGAGCCUGCCAAAGGGUAGGGCUGGGAGGAGGAAGAGCAUCAGAAAGAGGAGCUAAUGGAUGCUGGGAUUAGUACCUGGGUGGUGGGAUGAUCUGUGCAGCAAACCACCAUGGCACAGGUUUAUCUAUGGAACAAACCUGCACAUCCUGCACGUGUACCCCUGAAAUUAAAGUAAAAAUUGGAAAUAAAACAUUUAAAAAGAAAAGAAAACAACAACAACAAAAAAGAGUGGUGCAAAUCUGUACCAGGCUUAUUGUAAGCAAAAGAAUGAGAAUGAAAACAUGGAUAUCAGACAAAGGGAAAUGGCAAAAGAACGCUUUACAUUAGCUAGAGGAGUAAUAUCCUAGCAUCUAACUAGAAUAGAAUGGAAUCGAAUGGAAUUGUUUUUCCCUGAACUGGCCUCCUUGGGUGGCCGACGAGGGCGAGGUGAAGGGAAGAUAUCUUGGAGUGAAAUGUCCGUUUCUUCGCUCUUGUUUUGGUCUCUGUAAGGCAUAAGAAGUUAAAAGCAAGAUCUGAUCCCUGGCAUUUUCCAGGAAUUUGAAAUAGGUAUAUGAGGAGAGAAGCUCAAUUAUUACCCAGGUCUCCGGGACUAUCCCAGGCACAAUCCCAAGAGUCCAGCUUUCCAAACCAGGGUCCCUGGGUUCUGAAGGCCUUUUUGGGGAAAGUACUGAUGUUCGUGUCAAGGUUGGGAGGAAAGGGUUUGGAAGGCCCCAGGCGAUGGGAAGGCAAAGAGAAGGUAUCAAGAAGCGAGGCAAGAACUUUCCACAGGUUCACAUUGGAUACAGCACCGGAGACAAGAAACUGAGUGAAUUUCUGGUGUUUUCUUACAGAGGUUUGUUAUCCAGUUGUACAGAGUCUAUUUCAGAAUAAGUCUUUUUCAAAUCAGCUCUUUUAAUGUGAAGCCAUAACUUUCUGGUGUUGCCUGAUGCAAAUCUCUAAUGUGAGCCUUUGCCCUGGGUGUCCUUUUUGUUAAUUACAUGUUCCAAAGAGAACACGGUAAAAAUCUUGACUCCUCUUCCCAUGUCCCGAUCUUACCUUUUUCCAUGUAAAGGCCGCAGUUUUUGCUAGUAGGAGGCGUCAGUGGUUUAGUGGUGGAAUUUCUGCCUCCCAUACACGAGAUCCGCGUUCAACUCCUGGUUGGUGCAGCGUGCAGUUUCCGCACAAUGCGGUUUUUACAUUUAUUUACCAUAACUGUGUAUACUCAGGUAGGUCACAGCCGCAAUAAUAAACAGAAGGAAAAGGGAACUACUGUAUAGCUUUCCAGUUCCUUCUGGAGUGGAAUUUCUCUAAGCAAGGACUUCGCAGAGACUGUCUUUGAAGCAGCUAGUGUGUCUGGUUGGUCUCCGCGUUUGCAUAUUUGGCCCUAAAACCGACGGGACGUUUAUUGUCUCUUCUGGCGGAUCCCUGAAAUACACAGUCACCUGGACACUGAUUUCACUGACUGGACCUUGGACAGACCACGUAUCGCGGUGGAGUGAGGCUCAAGAAAGGAGAGAAGCUGUGGGGUCGGACAGACGCACGCAGUGGGGAAGGGGGAGUGGGUACGGGGGCCCAGGGACAGGGAAGGCGUGUGGGAAGGAACCCGCACGCAGAUGAGGGGAGCUGCAGAGAAGGGCCUCGGAUCUUCCUGUCGAGGAAGGCCCAGUCUUUGGUGGCAUCGGCAAAAUGAAGGAUGGGCCCCAAGUGGAGAGCAGCACGUCCCCAAAACUCAUUUCGAUCACCCCUGUUUUAUACUCCACCAGGCAAAUCUUCUGUCUAGGGGAUUCUUUGUAAUACGUCUCUUUAAGCAUCGUGCUGGAGAGGCCAUGACAAUCAUUACCUCUGGAGAUUUGCGGAGGAAAGCUGGAAAAGGAAAGCCCCGUGAUCAUCUGGUUUGUCCUCCCCUGUUUUCAUCUACUCUUUUCCUCAGGGAAGCUUAUAUGUGUCCAGGAGUGGCAUCGCAGCUUCCUCACUGGCGGAUUAAGAUACGCUGAUGGCGGGGCACGGUGGAUCACCCCUGUAAUCCCAGCACUCUGGUAAGCCGAGGCGGGCGGAUCGCAAGGUCAGGAGAUCCAGACCAUCCUGGCCAACAUGGUGAAACCCCAUCCCUACCAAAAAUACAAAAAAUUAGCUGGGCGUGGUGGUGCGCGCCUGUAGUCCCAGCUACUCGGGAGGCUGGGGAAGGAGAAUCGCUGGAACCCGGGAGGCGGAGGUUGCAGUGAGCCGAGAUCGCACCACUGCACUCCAGCCUGGCCACAGAGCGAGACUCCGUCUCAAAAAAUAAACAGCCGCUGACAAAUCUCUUUCGUGAAGGGGUAAGAGCCGCAGUUGGCCCAUAGCAAGGGAGUCAGAAGCAAGAGCAGAACCGAAAAUACUUUUCUCUAUGUCGUUCUCUCUCUCCUACCCGUGAACAUCAACCUUCCACACAUACCGGUUCAAAACCGCCUUGGUCUCUAAGGGAGAUUUACCAUUUUUCACAGGUCCCGUAAGCCAUGUUUCCUUCUUGCUUCUACAGUUUUUCCAGGGCUGAGUUUCAGGAGCUGGUCAGCAGUGCAGGCUAGUUCAAUAUCCUGGUUCAAAACCAUUUGUCUGGUUUUGCUAGUAAAGUGCCUCCUAGACCAGAGAUAAGACGUGUUCCUUCGGCUUCCAUUUUCUGGAGAUAAUUGGUAUCAUUUCUUCAUUAAAUGUUUGGUAGUAAAACCAUCUAGACCUGGUGCUUUGUUCUGGAAGUUUGUUAAUCAUUGAUUCAAUUUCAUUAAUAAAUAGAGAUCUAUUUAGGUUAUAUAUUUCUCCUUGUGUGAGUUUUGGUAGACGGUGUCUUUCAAGAGCUUGGUCCAAUUCAUCAAGUUAUCAAAUAUGUGAGUGGAGAAUUGUUGAUAAUCUUCAUCUGAUAUCCUUUUAAUAUCCAUGAGAUCAGUAGUGAGGACCUUCUUUUCUUUUUGUUAUUUGUAAUUUGUAUCUUCUCUCAUUGUUUCUUUGUUCACCAGCUGGAUGUUUAUCAAUUUUAUUGAUUAUUUUAAAGAACUACGUUUUGUUUUUGUUGAUUUUUCUCUAUUGAUUUCUGGUUUUCAAUUUCCUUGAUUUCUCCUCUAAUUUUAAUUGUUUCUUGCUUUCCACUUACUUUGGAUUUAAUUUUUUCUUGUUUUUUGAGUUUCCUAAAGUGUAAGUUCAGAUUAUUGAUUGUAGAUCUUUUUUCUUUGCUACCAUAUGCAUUGAAUACUAUGAAUUUCUUUCUAAGCACCAAUUUUCCUACACCCAGAAAUUUUUUAUAAGUUGUAUGUUUAUUUUCAUUUAGCUCAAAAUAUGUAAUUUGCCCUGAGACCUUUUCUUGACCCAUGUGUUACUGGGAGUGUAUUGUCUGAUCUCCAGUUUUGGGAUUUUCCAGCUAUCUGUUGUUGAUUUCUACGUCAGUUCCAUAAUUUGAAUGGAGGGCAUAUUUGGUAUGAUUUCUAUCCCAUUAAAUGUGUUGAAGUGUGUUUUAUGGGCCAGAAUGUGGUGGAGCUUGGUGAACACUCCAUGUGACCCUAAAAAGAAUAUGUAUUCUGCUCUUGCUGGAUGAAGUAAUCUAAAAAGUCGGUUGGAUCCAGGUGACUGAUGGUGGUGUCCAGUUUCACUACAUCUUUAUUGAUUUCCUGGCUUCUGAUCUGUCAGUUACUGAUGCUGAAGUCUCCCACUGUAAUAGUGAAUCUGUCUAUUUGUCUUUGAAGUUCUAUCAGCUUUUGCCCCUGAUAUUUAGAUGCUCUGUUGUUAGGUGCAUAUCAUUUAAGGAUUGUCAUAUCUUCUUGGAGAAGUGACCUCUUUAUAUUAUGUAAAGACUCUCUUUAUCCCCAUGAUUUUCCUCCCUCUGAAGUCAGCUCUGUCUCAAAUUAAUGUGGCUACUGUAGUUUUUUUGUUUUUUUGUUGGUUUGUUUGCUUUUGUUUUUGUUUUGUUUUUUGUUUUGACUGAGUUUCGCUCCUGUUGCCCAGGCUGGAGUACAAUGGCACAAUCUCAGCUCACUGCAACAUCCGUCUCCCAGGUUCAAGCGAUUCUCCUGCCUCAGCCUCCCAAGAAGAUGGCAUUAAAGGCAUGCGCCACCAUGACUGGCUAAUUUUGUAUUUUUAGAAGAGAUGGAGUUUCACCAUGUUGGUCAGGCUGGUCUUGAACUUCUGACCUCAAGUGAUCCACCAGCCUCGGCUUCCCAAAGUGCUGGGAUUACAAGUGUGAGCCACAGUGCCCAGCUGCUACUCCAAUUUUCUUUUGAUUACGAUGGGUAUGAUAUAUCUUUCUCCAUCUCUUCACUUCUAAUAUCUCUGUGUCUUCUUAUUUAAAGUAGGUUCAUUGUAGAUGACAUAUAGUUGGACCUCAUUUUCCAUUCUGCCAGUCUCUGUCUUUUAGUUGGUGUACUUGGACCAUUCACAUUUAAAGUGACUAUUGAUAUCAUUGGAUUAAUAUGUACCAUAUGUGUAACUGUUUCUAUUUUUUGACUUUCUUCGUUGUUUCCUUUUGUGUCUUUUACUCUUUUUCUACCUUCUCUGGCUAUAAUUGAACAUGUUAUAUGAUCCCAUUUUUUUCUUCUCUCUUACAAUACAAAUUCCAUUUCUUAAAAGAAAAAUUGUGUUUUUGUUUUCACCCUAUUGCUUGCCAUAUAUACUUACAAAUAAUCUAAGUCAACUUAAAGUAAUGUUAUGAUGCUUCAUGGGUCAUGCAGGUACCUUAAAAACGAAAUUCCUAAUUCCUUUCUUACCUCCUUUUAAAACAUUGCUCUCAUUCAUUUGACAUAUUAAUAACAUAUAAUCAUUCAAUCAAUUAUUGCUGUUUUUCUUAUUUUGACAGAUGGUUAUAUGAAUUAAGAAUAAACAUAAUAAAAUAUUUUAUUUUUAACUUCAUUUAUUCCUUCUCUAACUUGCUUCCUUCAUGUAGAUAUGUCUUUAACCUUUGUGGUUUUUUCUUCUUUCUGAAGAACUUCUUUUAACCUUUCACGGAAGACAAAAUUACUGGUGACAAAUUCCCUCAAUUUUUGUUUGUCAAGAAAGUCUUUUAUUUCUCCUUCACGUUUGAAGGGUAAUUCUAAAGAAUUCUAGGUUAACAGGGUUCUUUUUCCUCCAAUACUAAAUAUGUCCGCUGCAUGCUGUUCUUGCUUGCAUGGUUUAUGAAGAGAAGUCUAAUGUAGUACUCAUCCUUGUUCUUCUAAGGUAAGGUGUUUUCUUUCCCCAGCUUCUCUCAAUAUGUUCUUUUGUCUUUGAUUUUCUACACUUUCAAUAUUAUAUGUUGGAUGCUUAAUUGCAUGUGUAAAUUUGGCUGGGCCAUGGUGCCCAGAUAUUUGGUCAAAUAUUAUUCUGAUGUUUCUGUGAAGGUGUUUUUUGAUGAAAUGAGACAUCGAAAUCAGCCGACUUUGAGUAAAGCAGAUGACACUCCAUAGUGUGAGUUGGCCUAAUCUAGUCAGGUGAAGGCCUUAAUAGUAUAAAACCUGACCUCCCCCUAACAAGGAGGAAUUCUGCCAGCAGAUUCCCUUUAGACUUGAACUGCAACUCUCUCCCCUGAGUCUCCAGCCUACUCGCCUACCUCAUCAGAUUUGGUCUCACCAAGCUUCCGCAAUUAUACGAGCCAAUUCCUUAAAAUCAGUCUCAAUCUCUCUCUCUCUGUCUCUCUUCUCUCUCUCUCUCUCCUCUCCAUCUUCAUCUCUAUCUUCUAUUAUGAGAAGUGGCAGGUAAAGUAGAUAGGAAAAAGAAAACAAAUAAUUGUCAUAUGGAAAUAUUUGGUGUUGAAAACUAUAAUUUAGGCCGGGGGCGAUGGCUCACGCCUGUAAUCCAGCACUUUGGGAGGCCGUGGCAGGCAGAUCACGAGGUCAGGAGAUCGAGACCAUGGUGAAACCCCGUCUCUACUAAAAAUACAAAAAAUUAGCCAGGGGUGGUGGCUGGCACCUGUAGUCACAGCUACUCUGGAGGCUGAGGCAGAAUGGCGUGAACCUGGGAGGCGGAGCUUGCAGUGAGCCGAGAUCACACCACUGCACUCCAGCCUGGGCCACAGAGCGAGACUCCAUCUCAAAAAAAAAAAAAAAAAAAAGAAAAGAAAAUUAUAAUUUAAAACGUAUAAACCAAAUAUUAGAAGUGUGUCUAGUUCAAAGGGGAAAAAAACUAUCAAAAACAUUUUAGUGCAAUAUUAAACUUGACCUAUACAACCCUUCCUAAAUGCCAAAGGCAUACACAGACAAACACACACACUAUCAGAGAAUACAAAUAACUAGAACAAAGAAAUGUAGUAAAUACAAUCUACUACCUAUGGUAAACAUAGCCUACAAUGUGGAAGUGUUUAGAAAAUAAACACGGAAAUAAAAAUGUUUUUAUUAAUUCAUAUCAUUACCUGCCCAAACCAAUCAACAUAAUAAAAGAUUAUAACACUGAAUGUAAAAAAACAAUUCACCAGUCCAAAGUGAUAGACAAAAAAUUUUAGUUGUAUGGAUUAAAGUUAACUGUGGACAAAAAUUAAAACCCAGGCAGGGAAUUUUUUUUUCAACAACAGAAACUAGCAAAAACAAGGAUAUAGUAAAAACUGAAAUAGAAAAUUUCCAGUGUAGAGAUAUGAAUAUAAUAAUUGACAUAGGCAGGGAUGAUUAGUGAAUGAUAAAAUAUUUAGAGGAUGAUCAUUAGAAUGCAGGGCAUUUAUACUUUUAAAAACCACUUUCCCAAUUACUUCAUUAAAAAUAAGAUGUCUCUAAAAGGGACAGGUCUUCUAGAUUCCUCCUUAACCAAGUGACAGUCCCAGUAUCACGGUAAUGGUGAUGGACAAACUGGACCUUCUCUGCCUGCAGAUGGGCUGAGGUAGGAAACUCUCAGUAGUGACUCUGCAGUGUUCCUGGAAAAACGUUUAGUCUGAAUUUAAUCAUGAGGACAUUUUUGGACAACUUCAGAAUGUAGAACAUUGAGCCAGACAGCUGAACUGUCCUCUACAAACAAGUCCAUGUCACCACCAUCAAUGACAACAACAAAAAGAUGAGGAGAUACUUUCGGUUCAAAAUAACUAAAGAAAUGUAGCUACAUUAUGUUUUUACUUUUUUUGAACCCAAAAUGUCUCUUCUCCUUUUUGUUGUGUGAUUCGUGGUGACAUGGACUGUGUGAAGGAGACAGGUCAGUUGUCCUGCUCAGUGUUCUACAUUCUGCAGUUGUCUUGUGAUUACCUCCUAUGAAAUUCAAGCUAAGCAUUUUUAGUGAGAACAUGGCAUUGUUCAUAUUCUGCACCAGCAAAUUCCCUGUUGUCUACAGGAUGGAAGUGAGAGGAGCAGGGCUAAAGCCUCUCAAUGCUGUUUGUCCAUCUGGCUUUGGUCUUCCUAAGUAUUGAUAUCAAGUGGAGGCUGAAGGACUGUGGCUUCUCUAACCAAAGGAGCCUAGUGGGUUAACAAUUGUCAAGAGCAGUCAGUGGUUCUGAAAUACAAUCCUCAGCCAUGGAUCCCUCCUGUGUUGUGUUGAGCUUUCAAUUGCUUUGCUCUUUUAGUUUUUUUCAUCAAACGAAAAUGCUUCUUGUGACAUCCGUUCUUUCUUUUCAUUGUUCCAGCAGCAUUUAGUAUCUGUAGGAGACAGAGAAGGAAAGAUCAAAUGGGCAUCUUUGUCAGGUCCUGCUGAUGGCUGAAUUUAGAGGGACUGCUAAGUGGUGAUAGCCCAGGGGCAAACUGAGCUCCUGCUAGGAGGAUGAGCUAAAGGGUGAGCCUCAGCCUGGGUGAAGAGGCAAGUGCCAUCCACAAGUGAAAAGUAAAUGCCCCUGAACUUCCAGUCAGCUGAGGUGAAGGAUAUAGGGACCCUAGCUCUGCCCAACCAGCAGCCGGUGACAUCAGCCCCUUUCCUCCUGAUUCCUUCUGUCUGGAGCAGAGUGAUGGCUUUUCACACCUCUCAGUGAGGAUGUUCUCAGCAUCAACCAUGAAAGCUCAGAAACAGAGGGCUGCAGAAGGAAAGGACCUUUCACAGAGAAACCCACUCCCUUACAGCUCCAUGUCCCCAUCUCUCAGGGAAGGGUGUGCAGGGCCAUGGGAAGAACCCUGGAGGUGAGAUACAGGAAGGACCUCAGACCACAUCCACAUCCAGUUCUGCCUUUUACAACAGAGGAGCAGUGAUGCCACAGGGCUGACUUAACUAAAGCCACAUGACUUGCUAUUGACAACCCUGAAACUAGAACCCACGCACGAAGUCUCUUUCAAUAAGUUAGAGAGAAGGGAGAGUCAAUUCUCCAAUCUGGAGUUCUCGACAGUCACUAGAGGUUGCUGGGUCACCUUGGCUAGGAUAGGAAUGAGCUUUUACAAAGAAAUAUGAUGUCACUGCUGCUUGUUUUGUUGGUAAAAUUAAAAAUGAGAAAAAGACAAAAGAAAUAUUAUGUGUUCUUCCAAAAAGGAUCAGAAAAAAAGGAAAAGGAAAGAGUCAAAUGGAAUUACAAAGGAAGGGUGGUGAUUGUAACCAUGGCCCAACUUAUUAUCCCUAAUUCCCUGAAGUUGAUUCCAUACCUGGUUACACCUUAAGGCAUUUCUAGAAAUAUUCUCAAUAUCUGAUCGACAAAACUCUGAAGUAGAAAGUGAAAAGGAUUAGUUUGUGUUUUAUUACAUUCUCCUCUCCCUGUUAUAUUUUUCCCAAAGUGGUUUGUUGGGAAAGAUUUCUUUUUAGUAUUUUAUGCCAGCGUCAAGGGUAGCAUAAAAAAGUAUUCAUACAUCAUCUCUUCCUGAGUUUCAGUUUUAUUAUUAUUAUUAUUAUUAUUUCUUUUUUUUUAGAUAGAGUCUUGCUCUGUCACCCAGGCUGGAGUGUAGUGGUGCGAUCUCAGCUCACUGUAACCUCUGUCUUCCGGGCUCAAGCGAUUCUCCUGCCUCAGCUUCCCAAGUAGCUGGGAUUACAGGCACGUGCCAUCACGCCUGGCUAAUUUUUGUAUUUUUAGUGGAGACAGGGUUUCGCCAUGUUGGUCAGACUGGUCUCGAACCCCUGACCUCAGAUGAUCCACCCUCCUUGGCCUCCCAAAGUGUUGGAAUUAAGAGGCAUGAGCCACCAUGCCCGGCCGAGUUUCAGUUUUUACUUAUUAUUAUAUUCUCUCUAGUUGAGUGAGAACUAUGAGUUCUCUUUGAGGAUUUGGCUGAAUGAAAAGAAUUGAGCAAAGCAGAAUUUUUACACUGCAGUGCUGAACCCAUUCAUGGGCUCUGGAAUCAGUGUGUGGAAAUGUAAACUGCAAAAUUUAUUUUAAAAUUGAAAAGAAAGCUGGGCAUGAUGGCUCAUGCCUAAAUCCCAGAUCUUUGGGACGCCAAGGUAGAUGGAUCACUUGAGGCCAGGAGUUCGAGAUCAGCCUUCCCAACAUGGUGAAACCAUGCCUCUACUAAAAAAAUACAAAGAUUCGCCAAGUGUGGUGGCAUGCACCUGUAAUCCCAGCUACUCAGGAGGCUGAGGCAUGAGAAUUGUUGAAGCUGCGAGACGGAGGUUGCAGUGAGCCAAGACUGCACCACUGCACUCCAGCCUGGGUGACAGAGAGAGACUCUGUCUUAAAAAUAAAAUAAAAUAAAACAUAAAAUACAAUAAAAUAAAAUUGAACAGAAAAUACUAAAUUUGAAUAUGUGUAGUAUAUAAGGUAUUGUUUUCUGUAUACUGGGUUUCAGUAUAAUGACUAUUUCUUAUUUUACUUGUAUUUAAAAUUAAGCAAGUGUGCUUUAAGUAGAGAGACUAUAGGUCUAAUCCACCUAUUUUCUUGUUUUUCUUUUUGAUUUUUUUCUACGUUCUACAAAUACUACUGUUGAGAGGUGAAUACAGAUCCCAUCAAUGUCUGAUGGAUGCUCAGCCUUUUGUGUGGAGUAGCCACACAAGUGGUCAUCUCCAUGUUGAAAACCUGAGGUCAGAGUAGACCAAUGGUCCUUGUCAUCUUCGGUUGUAUAUUAGAAUAUCAUGGAAGUUUUUUAAAGGUUCUGAUGCUCACAUCACACCCCAGACCAUUUAAGUGAGAAUCUCAAGAUGUCAGUUCAAGGCAUUCAUGUUUAUUGAAAUCUCACCAGGUGCUUAUUACAUGGUAGCAGGAUUUAGAGGCAAUGAAUGAACCAACCUGAUUUCCCAUCAUUUUCUUUCCUAUCCUCAUUUCUCUCAUGAUUGCCUUCAUUCUCUGUGGCUCUAUGGAUUUUAGUCUUUCUUCUGACAAUUUCAGUUAAAUCUCUCACUUGGGCUUGUCUGAGGCAAAGUCUGUCCUGUAGAUAGGUUCUUGUCUAUCAUCUUAUGUAGACAUAAAGCUGGCCCCUGGACUCACUUUUCUCAAAGUUAAUUCAUUAAAUGCUCUCAUAUUUCUCUGUCCUCAAGAUUCACCUGAGUUGUGUUUUAGAUUCUAACUGAGCUUGUAGAAGUAGAUAUGUGAACAAAAAGGAGAGAGGUGAGAAUGUACCUCGUGGUCUAUGCAGGUUCAAAGUCCUGCCCUGCCCUCUGCAUCUACCUUCGGCUGAGGUCCCUUUGGAAUGUCAUAAAUGUUCUGCAGUUAAUGUCAGCUAAGUGACUCCAUGAGGAGCAGACACAGUCCCUGGAAACUUCAUCCACGUUGGCAUAAGGUUGCCCAUCUAGAGCUGAAGACACACCUGACUCCAGGCUAGUAGGGAACUCUCACCUGUGACCCAGGUUCUAAUUUAGUUUUUGAUUUGGGGUUCUUAGUGCUCAUUUUUAACACUUCUCAUUCCCAUGUACAAGGUGAGGGUUACAGUUUGACUUAGUUGGGUUGCUCAAAAGCUGUCCCAAGAGAAAAAUCUGUGUAUAAAUGACGUAUUAAAGCAAUGCUCCCAGCAGAAAGGGGCAAUGGAGUUUGGGAUGCAGGAAGGAAAGGCAAAUUACUCAAGCUGUGUGAUUCCAGGCAAAGAACCCUGUGUUUAGCAGCUCACACCAUGCACUUGGAGGGGGACAAGGAGGCUGGGCUCUCCUGCGGCUGUGAGAGGGACUCUCAGGAUGGCAGCAGUGGGAACAGAGAAGAGUUCAGAGAGCAAACAGGCGAUGAGGACCAGAAGGGCCUGGCAGGGUGGCAGCCCAUGGGACACAGAGGUUAGACCAGACAGACGUGACAGCAGCUGCUGGAGAGAACAAAUACAGAAGAAAAAAUCAGUGGGAGAAGGAGCUGUCAUCACAGACAGAGAGAAAUAAGGAGUGAGUGCAGCUAAGAGCCAUAGAUGUGAUUACCUUCAUACUCUAAGCUUGCAGGCCAGGGAAUCUGCAUGCCAGUCUCCACUUGCUGAAUGGAAGUUUUCUUUUGAUCAUCUUCGGUUUUAGGACACUUGAGGCAUGAAUGUGGCCAGUGACUUGAUGCCCGUGUGUGUUGUCAGCUGAGCCUUCAAUAGCAUCACCUUCCAGCUGGGGAGGGUUCUUCAUUCCAAGGGAAGGCUCUAAACCCAGCUCUGAAAAUGAAACCACACCCAACAGCGUUCACUGUCAUCCAUGGUCUUACUGUGACUUUCUCUUCCACCCAAGAGGAUCAUCAGAGAAGGAAAGCGGCCUUGAACAAGAAAAUCCAAGGGGUAAAGGGAAGCCAAGAAAGACAUUUGGGUACUUUCUGUAUUGUUGAUUUUUCAUGCAUCACCCAGUAAUGACAAGAUUGCCAGGAGGAAAAGGUGAUCCCAACUGACAAACAUAUUCAAAAAAUUUAGGAUUAAUAAACCCAAAUAGCUUCCAAGUAGAUAAGGCAAAGGCAAGGAAAUCACACUGGAUACAGGCUGUGUUUUGGGAGUGAGGAGAUUCUAAAAAUCAAGCAAAAUCAACGUUAAAUGAACAUACGAGAGAAAAGAAUUGGGAAGACUAAACAUGGGAUAUUGAUGAAAUGAUCAUACAGAUAGGUAUAUUGCAUAUAUCUACAUUUUAUUAAAAAUACAUGCAAAUAUGCAUAAUGUAUAUAACAAUGACAUAAAUGCAUGUAUUUAUAUAUACAAAUCUAUUGGAAGAAAUUAUUACAUAGGGAUGUGGAAGAUGUUGAAUUAACAUUAUAAUCACUAACAUUACAAUCUAGCCCAUUGAAAUUGGAAAAAAUUUUGGAAAAAUAAGACUAUUGAGAGAGAGAAGACAUGGUGAGAAACAAAUGCCCUAGUAGACAGCAGGGAGAAGUCACUAGAGAAUGAAACAAAAGGCAUUCAUUCUUUCCUCCUGCCUGGAGCCUGGUUAGUGCUCUGGACUCCUGGGAAAGCCAGCAGGUAAGAGUGUUGGAGCCAGGUGGGUGAGUCCUGACUGGGGGUGUGGGAAUCCAUGGAGAAGCAAAAGAGACAUCAGUGGGAAGAAAUCAGUUUAAAUACUCGAAGUUAUCAGGGCACGUGUCAGGGACUACGCAUCCCUCGACACUCACUGAGCGUCUUCCUUGUGUCCUCUCCACGGACCCAGAAAGUGCUCGUUACCUCAAGUGACACUCCUUCCUCCUGAGGACAUGGGUCCCUUAUUCCUCAGCUGGGGGCAUCGCCUGACAGAUAAGCACCUGGCAGCCCCAGGGGCUCCAGGAGGAGAUAUUGAGUGGGUCAGAGAGUAAGAAUGAACACGACCCAGCAGAGAUGGGGUUUCACCAUGUUGGCCAGGUUGGUCUUGAACACCUGACCUCAAGUGAUCUGCCUGCCUUGGCCUCCCACUGUGCCCAGCCGCAGCUAAUUUUUUGUAUUUUUAGUAGAGACAGGGUUUCCCUGUGUUGGCCAUGAUGGUCUUGAACUCCUGGCCUCAAGUGAUCUGCUCACCUGGGCCUCCCAGAGUGCUGGGAUUACAAGCGUGAGCCACCGCACCUGGCCAAGAAACAACCAUCUUAUUCUGUGCUUUUGUUUGGUCCGCCAGAUCUAUGUUUCUUUUUCUCACCUUUCUUGCCUUUCUUUUGAACUGAUUAUUUUUUCUUACCAUCUAUUUUUUUCCUUUUCUGUUGAUAUGAAAAUAAUGUACUCUUUUUCUAUUCUUUGAGCAGUGGCUCUCUGGCUCUAGAAAUCACACAAUAUUCACCCUUUCCUUAGCAAAGUCUUUUUUUUUUUUUUUUAAUUUAAAGACAGGGUCUCACUUUGUGGCCCAGACUGGAGUGCAGUGAUGCAAUCACAGCUCACUACAUCCUCAACUUCCCCAGCUUAAACGAUCCUCCCACCUCAGCCUCCCCAGUAGCUGCGACUACAGGCACAUACCACCACACCUGGCUAGUUUUGUUUGUUUAUUUUUUGUAGCAACGAGGUCUCGCUAUAUUGCCCAGGCUGGUCUCACACUUCUAGGCUCAAGCAAUCCUCCCACCCUGGCCUCCCAAAGUGCUGGGUUUACAGGUGUGAGCUACCAUGCCUGGCCUAAAGUCUAAUGUUAAUCAGUACAUUUACUGUCCUUCUGGAAUGAGUAUAAGGACCUUAGAAUAAUUUUUUUUUUUUUUGAGAUGGAGAUUUGCUCUUGUCCCCCAGGCUGGAGUGCAAUGGUGCUAUCUCGGCUCAUGGCAACCUCCACCUACUAGGUUCAAGCGAUUCUCCUGCCUCAGCUUCCUGAGUAGAUGGGAUUACAGGUGUGCACCACCACACCCAGCUAAUUUUUGUAUUUUUAGUAGAGAUGGGGUGAGGUGGGUGGAUUACCUGAAGUCAAGAGGUCAGGACCUUAGAAUAAUUUAACAAAACUUCCCUUUCUCCCUAGUUUCUAGCUGGCAACAUGGAGUUGCUAUAAAUUUUAAUUCUGUAUAUUUUAACACUCUGUAAGACAUGCAUAUUACAGCUUUUAAGGUCAAUAUUUAUGUUUACCCAUAUAUUUACCAUUUUUAAAAUUCUUAAUCCUUUCUGUGUCUCUGACCCUUUAGCCUAAGUCAGUUGGUUGUGAAUUCUCUCAAUUCUUGUUUGUCUGAAAAUGCCUGUAUUUUACUUUCAUGGUUGAGGAAUAUUUUGCUGGCUAUAAAGUUCUAUAAUAGUUUUUAUUUUCUAUAAGAACAUGGAGAAUAUAUUCCCAUUUUUUCCUUUGGUUUUUAUUUUUGUGCUUUAGAAACUUAAAUUAAAAUUUUUUUUCUAGAUGCUAUAAAGAUUUUUUCACUUUUUCUUUUGUUUUUCGCAAUAUCUCAGGGUGAAUCUUGGUGUAGAUUUCUUUUUUCUUUAUCCUGCAUGGAAUUCUUAAGUUCUAUGAGUCAGUCCUCCAAAAUUCUCAGCCAUUUUAGCCAUAAAAAUUUAAAUAUUGCCUUUGCUCCAUCUCUCUCUCGUAAAACUGCAAUUAAAUAUAUGUUAGACUUUUUCAGGAUGUCCUCCCUCUCUCUUAUCCUCUCUGCUAUAUUUUCUAUGUUUUUGUCUCUUUGUGCUAUAAUAUGGAAAGUUUAUUCUGACUUAUUUUUCUGUUCAAUAAUUCUUUUUUCAGCUAUGUCUAAUAUGCCCUUAAACUCCUCAAUUAAUUCAUAAUUUGUUAUUAUAUUUCCCCUUUUCAAAAUUAUGUCACUUUUCCCCCUCAGUGUCUUUCUGAAAUUUUGAAGCUUUUCUUUUCUUUCUUUCUUUUCCUUUUUUUUUCUUUUUUAAUGCUUGGUAGGCAUAGUUGUUUUAUAGUUGGUAUCUAAUAACCCCAAUAUAUGACAAACAGUCUUUGUUGGUCUGUUUCUACUAUCUUCUUGUUUUAACUGGUUCUUGCUCAUGGUAUCUUGUUUCCUAUGCAUUUUGUUUUCUUUGUGUGCUAUUCAAUGUAUUUUAGGAAUACUUUGAGACAUAAGAUAAUAGUGCCUCUUACAAGAGAGUAUUUUAAUUUGUUUCUGCCACGAUUCUAGAGAUGCUACUAAUGCAGGACUAUCUUAAUCCAAGUUCGAGGCUUCAGGUUCCCUAAAAGAGCCAAAUGAUGAGAAGCCAGGCUGCAAGUCUUUUGAAGGACUGGUUUAAUUCUGGUUUACCCUUACUCUUAAGUGAUAACCUUGCUAGGUUCUACCUUACAGUGGCAGGUGGUUUAUCUGAGUUUUAAGCUUAGGUGGACCCUGAGCUUUAAGUCUUGUUUCCUCUGCCCUGAAAGACCCCCACCUGCCCUAAGCAAAUGCAGUUUCACAGUUAUUUCUUCGAGAUAAGCAAAUCUCAUUAGGGCCAAACAGAUUUUAAUAUAGGGGCUUCAUUUUUUCUAGAUUUCGACUGGGCAGUUUCUUAUUUGCUUAACUAUUUGGUGCUUUUGGAAGGUGUGGGUUUUCAAAAAAUAUAUUUCCCAAUUUCAUUUUACUUUUUCUCAGCAGAGGGGUUACUCUGAGAUAACUAGUCUACCACUAUAGGAAAUAAUAUAUAUCUAUUUUUAUAUUUCAGUCUUUAGCACAGUUUUGGUCACUCAAUAUUUGUUAAAGAAUGAUGAUAUGUGUGGCCAUGGGCAUUGGAAUCAAGUUGUAGAAGCUAUGGUUUCUUUCUUCAAGGAACUUAUCAUUUAAUAAGUGAAGAAAAAAAUCACAAAUAAAACUUAAAUAAUGACUACACUUUCUUUGUAGAAGUAUAAAUUAAUAUACCUUUUUGGAGAAAAAUUUGGCAAUGCUUAUCAAAAUUAAAUAUACUCUUUGGCUAAAUUCCACAUCUAAGAAUUUAUCUGAUGUAUACUCCACACAUACUUGGACAGGUGCUUAAAGAUAUGUAUAUGAGUACUUUUUAUUGAUAAUAGCAUGUUUGUAAUACAAAAGACAAAAAGGUCUAAAUAUCUAUUGAGAUGGGACUGAUGAAAUAAAUUGUAAUAUAUUAUAAUGUAAUGAAAUAAUGUGCAGCCAUUAAAAAGAAUGAGAGAAGAUUCACAUGUAUUGAUAAGGAAUAAUUUGCAUGAUAUAUUCAAGUGAAAACAAAGAAAUAAACAAGAAGCUUGAUAGGACAGUUGACCCUUGAACAAUUGGUCGUUAGGGGCACCUACCCCCUCAACACAGUUGCAAAUUUGCAUACGACUUUUGACUCCUCCAGAACUUAAAAAUCAAUAGCCUACUGUGGAUUGGAAGCCUUACUGAUAACAUACACGGUCAAUUAACACAUACAUAUUUUGUGUGUUAUAUGUGUUAUAUACAAUAUUCUUAAAGUAAGUUAACAUGUUAUUAAGAAACCAUAAGGAAGAAAAAAUACAUUUACUAUUCAUUAAGUGGAAGUGGAUCAUCAUAAAGGUUUUCAUCCUCAUCAUCUUUACAUUGAAUAGGCUGAGGAGGAGGAGGAAGAGGAGGGGUUGGUCUUGUUGUCUUGUGGGUGGCAGAGGUGGAAAAGAAUCCAUGUAUAGGUGGACCCACACAGUUCAAACCCACGUUGUUCAAGGGUCAACUGUAUAUAUAAUAUGCUGCACACAUGCAUGCACACAUAUAUACAGUUGCUUAGAAGUUCAUAGAGCAUCUCUGAAAGACUAUAAGAGGAACUGCUGACAGUAGUUAUAGGCUGGGCACAGUGGCUCAUAGGUGUAAUCCCAGCACUUCGGGAGGCCGAAGUGGGUAGAUCACUUGAGCCCAGGAGUUCAAGACCAGCCUGGGCAACAUGGUGAAAUCCUGUCUCUACAAAAAUAUACAAAAAAUUAGCUGGGCAUAGUGGUGCACACCUGUACUCCCAACUAUUCAGGAGGCUGACCUGGGAGGAUCGCUUGAGUCCAGGAAGUUGAGGCUGCAGUGAGCCACGAUUACACCACUGCACUCCAGCCUAGGCAACAGAGUGAAACUCGUCUCAAAAACCAAAACCAAAACAAAACAAAAAGCACAGUGGUCAUAUCUGAGGAGCACGGUGGUCAUAUCUGAGGAGAGGAACUAGGACUUGGAGUACAAGAAUAGGAAGUAAACUCUUCUCUGGGAGCUUUUGUGUUCUAUAUUAUAGUUUAUAUUUAUUUUUCCCAUGUGCAUUUUAAAACCAUUACAUUAAAAUACAAAAACUGCAAGGACAGUAGUGUAUUAGAAGGCAUACUAUACUGACGGUCAGUUGACCUGAGCUGUAGUUUGUUUUUGUUACGAAGUCCCAUGAUCUUUCCAGAACUCAGUGUCCUCUUCUGUGAAAUGUGGACACUGACCUAGCUGGUCUCAAAGGCCUCUUUCAAUUUUAACAUUCCCCCAUUCCAUUGACUAACACAGAGAUACUUUUAUUGCAGAAGUGCUUCGGUCAGGCAGUAUCUUUGAAAAUAAUUUGGCCAAUGAAAGCCCUGGCAUUGGAUGAAAGUGCUAGCUGCUGGGAAUGCUACCCCUCCUUUUGGUUCUCUUUCAAGUCCUUCAAGUAUUACACUGUGCUUUCCCUGAGACAAUAAACUGAAACAACUGAUUUCUUUAGCUUCACAAUUUGAAACUGUGGCUUUUAAUAUAACCUCACAUUUGAAAUAUUUUAGGCCUGUUUUUCUUUAGGAUCGGGUAGGUUUAAAUCUCUGACAGAUUGAUCAAAUCUCAUUACCCCCUAUUAUACUAUACAAUGAAAGCUUAUUUCCUAAGUGUUCCCACAUUUUAUGCUCACAUUCACAUAGAUCUAAGUGGCCGAAACAUUUAACUAAAUGGACUAUUCAUACAAUCGUAUUUCCGGGCUGGUCAUCUAUGUCAAUGAUAACAGUAGCAUUCAUCGCAUGGCUAUGAAUCUCUAUCUUUAAAAAAAAAAAGGAGAGAAAGAAUAAUUAUUUAAAUCUAAACUAUGCUCAGACUAGUGAUUUAAAAGCUUUUUUAAUUAAAAAGUAAUUUAAGUUCAUUUUCAAAGGUUCAAACAAUACAGAAGUGUAUAAAGUAAGAAUUGAAAGUCUCUUCGCUGCUCUAAUCUCACUCCUCAGAGGUGAUCACUGGUAAGUAUGGUAUAUAUCUUUUCAGGUACACAUACACACACACACAAACUUCACUUUUAUAAUAAUGAGAUUCUACUGAACAUGCUGUUUUACAAUUUGUUUUUGUACUCAGCAAUAUGUUGUUCUUGGGGUACACAGAGCUCUACCUCACUUUUUUUUUUUUUUUUUGAGACGGAGUCUCACUUUGUCACCCAGGCUGGAGUGCAGUGGCACGAUCUUGGCUCACUGCAAGCUCUGCCUCCCAGGUUCACGCCAUUCUCCUGCCUCACCUCAGCCUCACAAGUAGCUGGGACUACAGACGCCCUCCACCACACCCGGCUAAUUUUUUCUAUUUUUUAGUAGAGACGGGGUUUCACCGUGUUAGCCAGGACGGUCUCGAUCUCCUGACCUCGUGAUCCGCCCGCCUCAGCCUCACAAAGCGUUGGGAUUACAGGCGUGAGCCACCGCGCCCAGCCUACCUCACUCUUUAAAGGGCUAUAAACUAUUCAAUCAUGCUGAUGUACUAUCAUUUAUUUACAUGUUUUCUCAGUGUUGGACAUCUAGAGUUAGUUUCCAUUUAUAUGUUGUGAGAAACCAUGUUGUAUUGAACUUAGACAUUUGGCUAGAAGUUUUAUAGAAUGUUUUCCUUGAAUUAGGGUUCUAGGCACUUCCUAUAUGCCAGGCACCAGUGUAAACACUUUACAAAUAUCAACUUUUAAAAUUCCCAUGACAACCCCAUGAGUUAUAGAUACUAUUAUUAUCUCAGUUUUGCAGACGAUAAACUUAGGCUCAGAGAGGUUAAGCAACUUGUUUGAGAUCUCAUGGUUCUAAUUGGUAGAGCCAGGAUUGGAAUCCAGGAUCUCUGAAUCCAGAGUCUGUCCUUAACUCAUAUGCAUUCUGCUGCCUCAUAGGAUAGGUAUAUUUGGAAUCUUGACAGAUACUGCCAAGUUGUCCCUGAAAAAGGUUCUAUCAAUUUAUAUUUCCACAAACUGUAUUUGAGUGUUCACCCAUUUUCCUAUUUCAUUACCAAACCGUAUGUUCUCACUUUUAAAUUUUUUUGCCAAUUUGUGGUUGGAAAAAUAGUAUCAAAUUAUUGUUUUAACUUACAAUUAAUGCACUAUUAACAUUUAUAAUACUUAACUUUUAUUAGACCUGUACUACAAUAAAAUACGUAAAAGAAUUCUUCAUCAUUUCCGGAUUAUCAUCCCAGAGCCCUCCCUGAAGCCCACACACAGCUUCUUCAGGAAAUGCUGACAGCAUGGUAUACACAUGGCUUCCAUGUUUGUCGUGGAUCCAAAGUUUGCUUUUGAGUUUAAUUUCUUUCUUUCUUUCUUUCCUUUAUUGGCUAAACUCCCCCCACAGGACCUGAGUGAGCAGAAGGCUUUUCAGAAUUACAGCCUGAACUAUUUCUUGAGCAAUUUGGGAACUCAUUUCUAAAGCAGUCCUCAGAUUCACACAACGUAGUUUGUGACGGAGUAUGCCCAGAGCAGGCAGGAAAGGCAAAACAGCAUUUUGACACUGACGGAUUUAGCAGAAAGAUCUGACCCAACAAGUAAAAACUCUUUUAAAGGUUCAGUCAAAUUUAUUCUCAUCACAUUCCUCUGGAAUGCCCAACAGGCACAUGUUUUGUCAAUGAAAAUUGUUUUCAAUCUCAUUGAUGUUUUGUUUGGCAAGAGCCAUUUCUUUCAACAAUUUCUUAUUAAUCAUCUACAAUUUUUCACUUCUGACAGUGUUAUCACCAGUGCUUUCAGUAACUGCAUACUUAUAAAACAGCCAAACUUCAACCUGUGUUCAGUUUUUAUCUGUUUCUUGGGAAUGUAAUUUGGACAAAAAAGUUACCAAUGUAUUUACAACCAAAUUUCAGAUCUUCGACAUUGCGGAGGGUAAGAAAUGUGAACACAAUGGAAUUCUUCUAUCAUCCUUAUUUUGUGAGAUCUAAUUACUGUAUACUCACCUUCCCAGUAAUGUCAUGUUAGCUUCGUCCCUGUCUUUGUGGCUUAUAGAUUUCUGUCUCCAGGGGCAUGGUUUGCAUUGUGGUGAUCCAGAUAUGGAUAAGGCAACAUCCAGUGUCUUAAUAGGGUCCUGCCUUCCAAACAAAUAAUUCAGUGUGGCUCUAAGAUUGUGUCUUUCUGCGUAUGCCAACUUAAGCUGUUUUAGCCAAACUACCUUCUACAUAGGCCUAGUGAAAAUACCUUCAGGGCUAGAUGAAGGUGUUUGGCAUGCUUUUUUUUCCAUGGUGGGGGCAACAUUGGGCAGUGCUGCCUCCCUGGCUGUGAGCAGCCUGUGGGUCCCCAGGGACCAUUUCACUGGACUUCAGCUUAAACAUUGUUUAUACAUGGCCAUCGAUUUCCUUUACCAAGAGCUGCCAAUCCAAUGGCAUUAGCCACACCUGCCAUGAACUUCCACCCCUCCUCAACCAGGUGGUAAGCACAGGAGACGAACUGGUGUUAGGAGAAAAAGCCAUACCGAUGGUCCAGUGCAGUGGGAUAGCCAGGAAACUUGUUAGAAAUUCAAUUCCCUGGCCCCACCCUACAUCUCUGGGUGAUUUGGAUAUAGGCCAUAACAUUUGAGAACUGCUGCUCUGGCUUAAUACAUCAGAAUCUUCCACUUUAUUAUUUUAUUUCCAUAUUUGUAUAUCCCUCUCUUCCCCUUUGACAUUUUCUGUCAUGGUUUUGCUUUCUAAAUGUCUUUAAGCUGUCUUGUUGAUGGGGGUGCACCCUGACGAAUGGUGUGCUGGCAAAGAUUUAACAACAGGCUCCAGAGGAGGGCAGACUUGAAGUGGAGCCUUCAGUGGGCAGUGUGAAGGGUGCUGAUUUCAAGCAACUCAUCUGGAUGACUGAACAUGAAGUUGGGAAGAGAUGUGCAUAAUUGAAGUGGGUGAGAGCCAGUCCAGCACCCUGCAGAGAGGUACUAAUAAUUCUGUAGGUACUUCCUCAAAUUUAACUCAAUGGGGGUUUAGAUUGGGUUUAGAUUGAGUCAUUAGUUGCAGGUCAUUUGUUGAAUCAUUGAAUACUUUUUGUUGUUAAGGUGACUGAAAUACUCAGUUGAUGUCCUUUAAGAUCACUGAAAAUAUUUAAAAUCAGCUUACAUAUGGUAUUUUGGAAAUGCCACAUACAUAAUAGAUUAAAACCCACAACUAUAUUUGCUGCCUUUCCUACGCAUGUCCUGUCAAAAUUAUUUUUUGGUGGACUGUAAGCCCUAAAACAACAUGGACCUUGUUUUCCUCUCCAUUAUAUUCUCAUUACUUAUACUCAGCAUUGUUUAAAAAAAGUUUGUUGAUGUAAUAAAUGUGCAGUUGAUAUAAUAAUGUAAUAAAUGUAUACUGCCAUAACAAACUACGACAGACUAGGUGGCUUAAACAACAUUUAUUUCCUCACAACUUUGGAGGCUAGAAGUCCAAGAUCAAGGUGUCUGCAGGUUUGGUUUCCUCUGGGGCAUUUCACCUUGGCUUGUGGAUGGCCAUCUUCCACCUGGGUCUUCACAGUCUUCCCUUUGUACAUGUUCGUGUCCAAAUUUCCUCUUCUUAUAAGGACAUCAGUUGUAUUAGUCUGUUCUCACACUGCUAAUAACGACAUACCUGAGACUGGGUAAUUUAUAAAGGAAAGAGAUUCAAUGGACUCACAGUUCCACAUGGCUGGGGAGGCCUCAAAUCAUGUCAGAGCGCAAGGAGGAGCAAAGUCAUGUCUUACAUGAAUGGCAGCAGGCAAGAGAAGAAAAUGAGAGCCAAGCAAAAGGGGUUUCCCCUUAUAAAACUAUCAAAUCCUGUGAGACUUAUUCACUACCACAAGAACAGUAUGAGGGCCGGGCAUGGUGGUUCACGCCUAUAAUCCCAACAUUUUGGGAGGCAGAGACGUGUGGAUCACUUGAGGUCAGGAGUUCAAGACCAGCCUGGCCAACAUAGUGGAACUCCAUCUCUACAAAAACACAAAAAUUACCUGGGUGUGGUGGCACAUGCAUGUAAUCCCUGCUACUUGGAAGGCUGAGGCAGGAGAAUUGCUUGAACCCGGGAGGUGGAGGUUGCAGCCAGCUAAGAUUGCACCACUGCAGUCCAGCCUGGGUGGCAGAGUGAGACUCCAUCUCAAAAAAACAAAACAAAACAAAAAAGAACGGUAUGAGGUAAACCACCUCCAUAAUUCAAUUAUCUCUCACCAGGUCCCUCCCACAACAUGUGGGAAUUAUGGGAGCUACAAUUCAAGAUGAGAUUUGGGUGGAUAUACAGCCAAACCAUAUCACCAGUCAUAUUGGAUUAGGGCCCACCUGAAUAACCUCCUCUUAAUUUAUUACUUCUUUAAAGACUUUAUCUCCUCAUACAGUUAUAUUCUCAGGCACUGGGGGUUAGGACUUCAACAUAUGAAUCUAGGGGAGAGGGGAGAUAUAAUUCAGCCCAUUACAAUAAUGAUCAAAACUUCUAUAUUUUAAGGUUCUAAUUGCAUAAGGAAAAAACAAAACAUCAAUUGUGAAUUACAAGUAUAUUACACAUGUACAUUUAUGUUUACCUUGAUAUUAUAACUUGUAUUGAUACAACCUUAUCUAAGAAGUGACAAACUAAUAUUUUAUAAAUUGCAAAAGUAUCUCUCCCACCUCUCCCCUCAUCUCAUACUGCCUUACUUUUGUUGCAUGAGGUUUUUUUCCUGCCAAAUGAGUUAGAAGGGUGGAAGAGAUGGAAAUGUAGUUUGCAUAUACAGAAAAAUUAGGUAUUGAAACGUAUGAACACAUACUAUAUAUAUAACAUAUACGUAUCUUGUGCUGUAAGAAUAAAGUGUGGGCAAUUUAUCCUAGCACACACUUUCACUGUAAGGAAAAUAUCACUGGUGAGGUUCAACUGCAAAAGUCUGAUCUCACAUUUCUGAGAUUAUUUUUUGAUCUGAUGACUAUGAGAACAACACAAAAGUUCGAAGUGUGGAAAGUUUAUAGAGCCUUUGGGGUGUCAUUUUCUUGGGAAGGAGUAGGCUCCAAAGAAGCUAGAACUUUCUGGGUUGAGACAUAACUCCUCUGUAGUCUUCACUCUGACCAACUAUGAAGAGGGCAUCACGACACCUGACUUCUGGCCAGCUUCUUGUUUUUUCCUUAUUAACACUCUGUCAUCUUAAAUCCUGUGGUGACGUAAGUGAAUCAUUGCACAACACUUUGAUUUUGAUUUUACACUACAGGUUUUUUGUUUGUUUGUUUGUUUUUAGGGUAGGUGUGAUUUUUUUGUUUCUUGUUGGGAUUACUAUCAGAUUUUUAAAAAUUAUUUAUUUUAUAGCUUUUUAAGUUGGGGUUCUCUUUUGAUCAGUCAGCUUUCCUUUAGAGAUCCCCAGAAUAAUUUCAACAUGCCUUGAGGGCAUAUGUUCUUAUAAUAUAAUAGCAUGACUAAGUGGUUAUUGGCCACCAACCUAGCCCAGUGAGGCAUGCUGUUAUUACACAAUUACACACAUCCUGGUGUGUGUCUUAUUAUGUAAUUGUAAUUCAAAGAUGCUGCUGAAAGCAAUUACAUAAGUCCUGUUCAUUUCACAGAGAAUCGAAAGGGCAGAAGUAAAGCAGAGUCAAGCUCCUAGGCAUUGAGGGCAGUCAUUCUUUCUUUACUUAUUUUUGAGACAGGGUCUCACUCUGUCACCCAGGCUAAAGUGCAAUGGUGCAAUCUCAGGUCACUGCAACCUCCACCCUUGGUGCUCAGGCGAUCCUCCCACCUCAGCCUCCCAAGUAGCUGGGACCACAGGCACGCACCACCAUGCCCAGCUAUUUUUUUUUUUUGUAUUGUUGGUAAAGGUGGGGUUUUACCAUGUUGCCCAGUCUGGUCUUGAACUCCUGAUUUCAAGGAAUCUGCCUGCCUCAGCCUUCCAAAGUCCUGGGAUUACAGAUGUGACCCACUGCACCUGGCUGGGCAGCCAUUCUUUAGAUGGUGUGUCACAUCUCUUGAUAGAAGAUUAGGUGACCAUUCUCAGGGCAUUGAACUGGCACAUUUUGACCUCGUUAUCCAACAUUUCUUUUUUUCCCAGACAGCAAGCAACAAUAGCAGCACUGUAAUUUGUCAUUUUAUAUUUACUUUUAAGGUUUUCAAUAAAGUAAAAUGGAGUGAUACAGUGAUGAUAUUCUCUGCCUCUCUAGUAGGACUUUGAAUUUUUAUUCUGUGUGUCCAGGGGUAUGACACAUCUUGAAUUCUAGGAGGACUUUGAAUUUUUAUUCUGUGUAUCCAGGGGUGUGACAUAUCUUGAGCAAAUAAAAUAAAGCUUACCUACUCCAAGUAUAAUAGAAACCUAGAAGACAGGGCAAGGAGAGUUGCUUCUAUUACUCAAUGUAGCUCUCGGAGUCAGAUAGCAAGGACCACUGGUUAUACACAUUGGGAUUCCCUACUGUCAGACUAUCCCUUAAGAUUCUCUUCUGAUGAAGGUUUUUGCAUAGGUGUGCAUUUCUGCAGAGGGGCUGGAAACUCCGCCAGGUAGAGUAGGAAUUUUUCAACCUGCUCUAUGGUUGUCCAGUUGAGGAUGCGUCUGUGUGGCUUCUAAAACACAUCGAGGAGCCAUAUAACAGGAGCCAAUACUCAUUUUUUUUUUUUUGAAUGAAUGACUUGAGAAAGCAAGCUGCUUCCUCUUUUCUCUUUUUCCAAUUUCUCCUCAAAUUCCAAAGGAUCUUUGAAUAUCACUGAGUUACUUGGCAGGUUAGUGUCAGGUGAAUUUACAAGAAUUUGGUUUGGAAAGAGCAGGCUGUCUUCCUAUGUGAUAAGGAGUCCCUAGAUAGCAGUGCCUUCUCUUGAGAAUGCAGCUAAGCACACUCACAAUUGUGCCUCUGUGCAGGGGAUAUCCCAAGUGGCCAAAAAGAGAAAGCAAAGCAUGGAACCAGCUAUUGAGUCUGUAAUUUUAUUGUGAAAACUUGGUACCAGUGUGAUGGUAGAUCAUAAGCUUCUUGAGGACAAGGAGUGUGUCAUUAAUUUUGUGUCUCCAAGGCCAAGCCCAGGAUUUGAUGUAUAGGAGAUCUUUAAAACAUGGUCCCUGCAAUGGUUAAUUUUAUGUGCGACUUGGCUAGGUCCUGGUACCCAGAUAUUUGGUCAAAUAUGUCUGGAUAUUGCUGCAAAGGUAUUUUUUAGAAGAGAUUAACAUUUAAAUCAUAGACUGAGUAAAGCAGCUUAGCCUCUGUGAUGGUUAAUAUUAUGUGCCAUAAUGUGAAUGGACCUCAUCCAAUCAGUUGAAGGUCAUAAGGAAAAGGCUGAUCUCCACUGAGGAAGAGGAAAUUCUGCCAGCAGACUGCCUUUGGACUCAAACUGCAACAUCAGCUCUUCCCUGAGUCUCCAGCCUGCCCAACUAACCUGCAGAUUUUGGACUUACCAGCCUCCAUGAUUGCAUGAGCCAGUUCUUUAUGAAUGAAUGAAUGAAUGAAUGUCUUCAACAUCUUUGCUUUACUCUGAUGCUCUCCCCUACCCCCACAAUUCCAAUGAAGUGAGGAAAAUUAUUUUGCCAAGCCAAAACUUUGGAUCUUUGCCCUAAAAUCCCAGAGUCUUCCCUUUAAAUAGAGAGUGAAAGCCCUGAUACUGACAAGGAUAAGACAGGGGAAAGAUAAUUUGGUGGGGGGGUGCUGAGGGAGGAGAAGAAUUCACCAACUCCCCUCAAAAUCUCUGAUUUCAUAUUUACUGUUAAUAUCCAAUGUAAAAACAGUUGGCUUGAUUUAAAUGUCUUUGUUGGUUUCCCAAGCCCCAUCACCACCACCACCACCAGCUCACCCUGCCAAGGCCUGAGAUGCUGAAGACCACUUUUCAGCCUGAUGUGAUUUCUAACAGCUGAGAUACUAAACACUGAAAAAUGGGGUUUAUAAUGGAAAUGCUGACAGACUAUUAACUAUAGCAGCACUGCUCUAAUAACUGGAAUGGCCUAUCUUAAUCUCUAGUUCAUAAAUAUGCAAAUACAAGACUGGAGAUUUGCUCCAAAACAGUCUCUAUAAUUUUAACUGACCUUUACUGAUACCAAAUGAGCCUGUUGCUUCUGUUUUUGUACGCUGGAUAUAAAGUACAGGAGAUCCAGACGCCUGUCGGCCUAAAGUAUAUAAAGUUUAAACUGCCAGCUACUAAACUCUGGGCUCAGAUUCCAUUUCUCUUCACAUUCACAGUCUUUAUUGACAUUUUCAUUUUUUUUUUCCUCAGGGGGUGUAAGCCGAAUCGGGGCGGGGCGGGGGGAACAAACCUUGUUCAUCCCCCUUCCCCUACGACAUUACUUCCACAUUCACAGCGCCUGCCCAGCCAAAAUUCAUGGAUUGCCUCAAGGACAAACAGGCCAUCUACACUGAAUUAUAAAUUUGAGUUUUAUCCAGUUUUCUGCCUUUGGACCAAAUGGGCAGCAAAUCCAGUGACUUCAUAUUUAAUAACCUAGAUGUCAUUUGUACUGUGUCUUUCAGCACAGAGUAAAGAAUUGGAUGGCUAGCAGUUUUGCAGAUUUUUCCCCCUAAUUAUUUGAAGCUGUUCAGCCUGGUAUUCGAACUAUUGAUGCAGAGCCAAAUUGCCAGCAGGGGAGAGAUCUGUCCAACCCAGGAGCUAAAUGAGUCACUGAGAGUCAAUCUGUUUUUCCCUUGCUGCUGGGGUUUCCUCUGGCCCUAGCCUCUCUGUCUCUCUGCUCCAGUCACACACAGAGCUGCGGGCUCAGCCCUCAUUGGUUCCUAUCGCCUCCCAUUCCCCUCCUCAGCCCUGCUUGCUGCAGCUGUUGAUGGGGUCUGACCGGCUGGCUGCGGAGAUUCAGGGCCUCAAUGACACCAUAGCUGAGGCCUUGCUUUGACAGAAAAUGAAGACAUCUUUGCCUUGUUGCAUUUGCUUCUCCAGUAAUACAUCAGGUAUCUGGAGAGUAAGGCCCACAAGCAGAGUGUGUUGUUGGGGUGCAAUGCCAGUUCAUCAAUUCCCGACGUCCAGUUUUCAGAGUGCUCUUCUACUUUUCCUAAGUCCAAAUGGAGUCCUUGGUGCCAGAAUCCUGCAUGUGGUCAUAAAAUAAUAAAAAUAAAGGUCUAUGGAUGUGCUGGAGGUAGUGGCAGGGCAGAAUGCCACCAACAUAAGCCAGGCUUGCUGGAGUGGUUGCUCUUCAAGCAUUGGAGAAAAAUUCACAGUGCUUCUAAUAACAUAUUUUUUUUCCAGUAGAAACAUUUUAUUUCUAACAACAUUUACUUAAAAACAAAAUUCUUGUAUUCUUCAUGUAGGGUCAGUACUCAAUUGCACAAAAAUAUGCAGCCAACUUAAGAACUAUAUAUAAGAUUAAGACACCUGGUAUUUCACGGUAAAUGAUUAAAUUAACUAACACAGUUAUAUCCUGAACUUUGCCAUUAGGAAUGACAAUUUUGUUCAAUAUGCAUUGAGGAUUGUGGGUAAUCUAAACUGGUAUGAGCUUUUUCUCUUUGAAACUCAAACAGAAUUAAGGAACAGUAUUCUCUGCCAACAGAAUAUGGAGUUUGAGAACAGCCACAAAAAAAUUCUCUUGUAGUAAGCUGAACUGCCCUAGGAGUACUCAGGAAUUAGACAACUCAGGAAUUAGAGAAUUAGAGAACUGGAGAAAUGAGGGGGCGUGGACAGUAGGGAGAGAAAAAUUGAAUAAUUGAUUUACUAUAUUUUUCAAAUAGAAGUAUCUGGGAAAAUAAGACAAAACAAGCAGAGUUGUUUCUUUUUCACAGUGAAGCCCCAGAGGAGUGAAAGCUUUGUUCUCCCUGGGUAGCAAGCUCUAUUUCCACAUUUCUGACUGCAUAUUCCAUAUUUAUGAUGAUUUUUGGUCUCUCUGUUCCUGGCUUGCUAGGUGGCAAGGGCAGUUAGAGAAAAAAGGCAGAUUUAUGAAACACGGAAAAAUUUCUGACUGAAAUCAGGCUUGGAUUUGUGAAUCACUCUUUUUUCCCCCUGCGGUCACUCCUGUGAUGAGGUCAACUGCUUCAAUCCUUUAGGUUUUGUAGAUGGGUUUCCGGAUUCCAGGAGUCCCAGAAGGUCCAGGGAGCACUCCCCACAUUUUAGCCAGAAGUAAUUAACUAAAACAUAAAGGCCCCACUUUCUCUUUUCACACUUCGAGCCACAGAUCAUCUAAUUCCUAGCUUGAGACAUCAGAUUUCAGAUCAUUAGUGCAAAGCAUCUUCCACAGGAGGCAAUAAAAUGUCACUUUAUGUAACUCAGCUACAGUUACACUGCCUUCAGAAAGCAGGAAUCUCCCUGAAAACAAAUUUACAUGAAAACAGUCCCAUUGUUUGAGAAUUUAUGCAAAUGUUGCACAAAGGGGUUUGAUAGUGAUUUUAAAAACUUAAAUCUUUAUCACUGCCUCAAAGAUAUCCUGAGAAACUUGGUUACCUCUAAAGAAUUCCAUUGCACUUAUUUUUUAAAAUGCCUAUAAUAUAGAGUUGUUUUAAAACUUUUCCCUAAACUCUAAACUUCUUUCUCAGCUUCAAAGCCUUCUAUAAUGAAUAUCCUAAAGAGAGCCUAGUGCAUAUUGGUUUAACACUUACUAGGAUCACUCAUUACUAGUUAAGAAAAUUGAAGGUAACAACCAUAGUGCCAAGUAUUUUGAACAACAUAAAAUGUUUCUCCCAUGGGUGUAGCUCUUAGGGACCGCAUGGGGAUACAUACCCCUCAGUGCUCAAUCAGCAAAAGAUGAAGCUGUAAGUGUCUCAGUCCAUGUUGAUUGCCUCUGAACUCCCCGGUGUUAGGAAUCUGGAUGUGUCCAUUACUGCAUGUUCAAACAAUGAACUGCCUGCACCAGAAAUCUGAUUUCUGUAGAAAGACAUUAAGGGGCUGGGUGAGGAAUAGGGUGUCAACCAAACGUUGUGAUAUUUUCCUUUGAUUUUCACUUUCUUUAAAUUCUUUUCCAUUUACUACCUAGCGACUGUCUGGCAUUGGUACCCUCAGUUUCUUUUCUUCUGCUUUUCCUCCUAAUUCAGUGUGGAAGAUGAUCAAAGUAUGACAUUUCUUCUACCCCAGAGGUUGGCAUUUCUGCAGGCACAAAUGAGCUUGGUUUUCAAGCACCGCUCUUUGAACACAAGGAAUUCCUUUAAUGAUCACGCCGGACUGUAUAGACUUUGGAAUCAGACUCUUUGAAUUCCAGCUCUGCCAUUUACCAACUUUGACACUUUGGAAAAAGCAGACAUGUCUAGAUCUUUCUCUAAAAAUGGUCUACUCUGAGAAAUUGUGAGCAAAGUACCAAGAUUUGAAGCCAUCAGGGGACUGAAGUGAGAGCAACUUAUGAAAAGAUCAAGCAAAAGGACUCAAAUAUUUGAAAUAAACAUACACGUCCUGCUGGUCAAGUGUGCACAUUGGAGAGUCAGCACUGUGUGGUGAUUCUUUAAGGGAUUCAUCUAGGGAAUUUGAAUUGUGACAAGACUUUAACUUCAUGAAAGAUGAGGAAGAGUGCCCAUUCAGGCUUUUAAAAGUGAGAAAUAAAGGGUGACUUUUUAGUAUGAGGUUUUCAGAACUUGAAAAUAAAGAAUUUGUACCACAAAUAUCUCUAGGAAUGAUGAUCACUUAGGUCUCUGAGAAAAAGAUCCACAAGAGUGAACCACAAUUGGAAGCAAACAGAGCUUAUCAACACAGGAAAGUCCAGAGGGAAAAUAACAUUUUGGGUAAGAGCUCUCAAGUGCGUAUCGAAGAGCUCCUAGUGUAACGUUUUUCGUCAUUGAGCUAAUCUGGCAUUAUAUAGGAUGAAAUCAUUUUCUUAAAUUGCUAACUAAGAGAUGUCAUGGAAUAAAGCCCCUAUGAGUAGAGUGGAUAUAAUCAAUAUUCUAAGUUUGAAAGAUAGUGACAUUUCUGAUUCCCCUAGCAGCCUGGAAGUGGAGGUUGCAUGGCAGGCUCUAAGGCUGACUUGUUGACCUGUGAGGCUCUUUAAGAUGUACUUUUAAGGCUGCUUUCUCCCUAAUCUUAAACACUUGACCUUUGAGUCUGAUAUUCUUCAGUAUUAUUAGAUUAGAUGAUUAGUUAUUAAAUAUACUGUCUCCAGCAAAUAGGUAAUUGUGUAAUGCAAUGGCCCUCAGCCUUUCCAGGCCAUGUUCCCAAGACAUUUAGAGUUAGAACACUGAGUCCUUUUGUAGUAGGAAUCUUUAACCCUUUCUGUGGGUCGAAGAACGUACAGGGGUUUCCCUAGGUCUCAAAAUCAGCUGACUGACGAAGGGCAGUAAAAAAUGUAGAGUGUCACAUGUUUUUGAGAGCCAUAAAAUUCAAAGAUCACAGAACUUUUAUCACAUUUACGCCCACAUAAUAAGACUGAGUAAUACAUACACCAAGAUUUUCCCUGUGACAAGCUGGGUGUGAUGAACAAAUCUAAGUCCUUCCCAGGCUUUAUGUUGGGUGUUUGAGAAAAGCUUAAGCACUGUUUUGCAACCAAAAGCAUGCAGGUGUUAAAGUUUUAAAUGUCUCUAUUGCUUCUUGCCAAAUUUUGCCUGGCCUGAAGGGGUGGGGAUGGAGAGGGGACGAAGAAUAGAGGGAGGGACAGGAUCUAGCAUAUUUUGAUUCCUUAAUAUACGCAAAGCACAGUGCUAGGCAUUUUACAUAUACAGAUUCAUUUAAUCAUCCCCUAAAUAGAAAUAAAGUUUGUGUUAUUAGUCCUCAUUUUUCAUUUAAGGAGCCUGAGGCUCAGAAAAGAUAAAGUUGCCUAAGUCCAAACACCCAGUAAUUGAAUUAGAAUUUGAACUUGAGUUUGAAGUUCUUAUUCUUUCCAAUGUCUCACAAUGUCUUUAUUUUAUUAGGUGCCUACUACGUAUAGAUAAGGUGUUACUCAUGUUGGCAGAAAAGACAGCGUCUCAUUCUGUCACCCAGGCUGGAGUGCAGUGGCACAAUUAUAGCUCACUGCAGCCUCAAACACCUGGGCUCAAGCAGUCCUUCCACCUCUGCCUCCUGAGUAAUUGGGACUACAGGCAUGUGCCACCACACCCAGCUAAUUUUUAAUUUUUAAUUUUUUUGUAGAGAUGGGGGUCUUGCUAUGUCACCCAGGCUGGUCUUGAACACCUGGCCUCAAGUGAUCCUCCGGCCUUGGUCUCUCAAAGCUCUGGGAUUACAGACAUGAGCCACUGCACCCGGCUCUGUCUCCCCUUCCUAUGUGUGUUAGCUCUAGAACAAGAGAAGCCUUGUUGAGAUUCAUGGCUGCCCACCCCCCAUCACCUCUCUGACUUUGGGCAAGUUGCCUGGCCUCUCUCAGCCUUUGUUUUCUUUUUGUGAAAUGGGGAUAAUAAUAGUACUUGCCUCAUAGGCAAAAUGUUGUGAGAACUAAACGAGAAAGUGCAUGUAAAGCACUUGGCACUUAGUUCUUUUUAUGAUUAUAAUGAUAAUCAGACACAAUAAAUUAUUUCUCACAUCACAUGCUGUUUAGCCUAUUCACUGUUCUAUUUUUCCUGAAGUCAGUUCAGUGUGUAGCAUCCAGAAUUGAACAAAACACCCCUGAUGUGACCUGAUAGUGCAAAGUAAACUAUCAUCUCCUUCAUUCUAGGUAUUAUGUUUCUAUUAAUGCAGUCUAAAGGUAGGAUAUGAGUUGUUUUGUUUAUGAAUCUUUUUUUUUUUUUCAGGGAUGGGGAAUGACUAUCUCCAAUUAAACUUCUCAGUAAAAUCUCUCCUCUUGUGUGUUGUGCUUUAGUAUUUAGUUUUGGAUACUAGUGCAGGAUCUUAAAUUUAUCCCAUUACAUGUGAUUUCUUUAGUGUUAGUUCCUUUUCAAACCUGUAUAAGCCAUUCAUUCAUUCAUUCAUUCAUUUUAGAAAGUCAAACAUAUAUUUAUCAUGAGCCAGCACAGUGCCAGUUAUUUGCCAUAUUCUAAGAUUUUAAACAUUCAUUGGCAUUUUAAUUGUGCAUGAUUUCUAUACCUUCAUCUGAAUUGUUGUGUAACAUAUUUGGAUAAUACAGAGCUAAGGGCACAGGCAAAGAAAUAUCUUUAGAAACUUUCCUCUAGGCUCACCAGCACCCUUAGGGCACUGUCAUUUAAAUAUUAUGAAUUAAUCUUGUGUGGUAUCAUUUGGUACAAAUUAUUUUCCAGCUUGACCAGCAAGAAAUCUUGAGACUUUCUCAGAAUUCUUGUUCAAGUCAAGAUUCCCUAUAUCUUUCUAGUCACCUAACUCAAUAUUCCUAUCAAAAUAAGAUGAAUCUGAUGAGAUUUUUUUUAAAAAGUGAAGUUAGGCUGGCUUGUUUCCUAAUGGGCUGAGAGGACAUAUUCCCAUUCCAGAAUUUUGAAGAAUUUAAGUGCACACAACACAGUGCCUAAAGCAUGUCAGCUGUCUGUUUCGGAUGCUCGUCCUACCAUGUGUAGCAUGGCGAAGACAGGAGUCAGAGGUUGGGAAGUUUAGCUAGGUGAAAAAGUCUGCCCUAGGGCAUUCCCUUCCCACUACUGGAGAGCAGUUGCUUUACAUUUUAUUUUACCUAGCUUUUUGUAAAUAUUUCUCCCUUCCUGGGUUACUUGUGAUCAAGGGGCAUGGACUUACUCAUCUCUUAUAAUUCCAAUCAGUGCAUGACACAUCAUAGCUGAUCCUCAAUUAUGUUUUAAGUUAAUGUACUCAAGGUUUAUUUGUCAAUUGAAUGCCUAACCUAUUGCAAUUAAGGAGUUGAAUUCCCAACCCCCAGUGCCUCAGAAUGUGACUGUAUUUGGGAACAGGGUCUGCAUUAGUUUGUUUUCACACUGCUAUAAAGACAUACCUGAGGCUGGAUAAUUUAUGAAGAAAAGAGGUUUAAUUGAUUCACAGUUCUGCAGGCUGUACAGGAAACAUGGCUGGGGAGGCUUUAGAAAACUUACAAUCAUGGUGGAAGGUGAAGAAGCAGACACAUCUUCACAUGGCUGGCAGGAAAGAGAGAGAGCAAAGGGGGAGGCGCUACACCCUUUCUAACAACCAGACCUUGCAAGAACUCUAUCAUGAGAACAGCAAGGGGAAAGUCAACCCCCAUGAUUCAGUCACCUCCCACCAGGCCCCUCCCCCAACUCUAGGAAUUACAGUUAGACAUGAGAUUUGGGUGGGAACACACAGCCAAACCAUUUUAUUCUGCCCCGGCCCCUCCCAAAUCUCAUGUCCUUCUUACAUUUCAAAACACAGUUAUGCCUUCUCAACAGUUCCCCAAAGUCUUAAUUCAUUCCAGCAUUAACUCAAAAGUCCAUGUCCAAAUUUUCUUCUGAGACAAGGUUAAGUCCCUUCCAAAUAUGAGCCUGUAAAAUCAAAAACAAGUUAGUUACUUCCCAGAUACAAUGGGGGGUACAGGCAUUGGGUAAAUGCUCCCAUUCCAAAAUAUAGAGGAUACAGGCCCUAUGCAAGUCGGAAACCCAGCAAGGCAGUCAUUAAGUCUUAAAGCUCCAAAAUAAUGGAGCUUAAAGUUGUUGGUGGAUUUGCCAUUCUGAGUCUGGAGGAUGGUGGCCCUCUCCUCAAAGCUCCAUUAGGCAAUUCCCUAGUGGGAACUUUGUGUGGAGGUUCCAAGACCAUAUUUCCCCUCCAUACUGCACCAGUAGAGGUUCUCCCUGAAGGCUCUGCCCCUAGAGCAGUCUUCUGCCUGGACAUUCAGGCAUUUCCAUACAUCUUCUGAAAUCUAGGUGGAGGCUCCCAAGCCUCAACUUUUGCCUUCUGUGUACCCACAGGCUUAACACUACAUGGAAGCCAUGAGGCUUGCAACUUUCACCCUCUGGAGCAGCAGCCUAAGACAUAUCUGGGGCCCUUUGAACCAUGGCUAGAGCUGGAGCAGCCAGGAUGCAGGGAACCAUGUCCUGAGGCUGCGUAGAGUAGCAGGGCCCUGGGCCUGACCCAUGAAACCAUAUAACCCUCCUAUGCUUCCAGACCUGUGAUGGGAGGGGCGGCUGCAAAGGUCUCAGAAAUGCCUCCGAGGCAUCUCUGAAAUGCCUCGGAGGCAUUUCCCCAUGGUCUUGGCUGUUAGCAUUUGGCUCCUCUUUACUUAUGCAAAUUUCUGCAGCUGGCUUAAAUUUCUCCCCAGAAAAUGGGUUUUUCUUUUCUACCACAUAGCCGGGGUAUAAAUUUUCCAAAAUUUUAUGCUCUGCUUCCCUUUUAAACGUAAUUUCCAGUAUCAAAUUAUCUCCUUGUGCAUGCAUAUUAGUUUACGCUGUUAGAUGCAGCCAGGCCACAUCAUGAAUGCUUUGCUGCUUAGCAAUUUCUUUUGCCAGAUACCCUAAAUAAUCUCUUGCAAGUUCAAAGUUCCACAGAUCUCUAGCACAGGGCCACAAUGCCACUAGUCUCUUUACUAAAGCAUAGCAAGAGUGACCUUUGCUUCAGUUCCCAGUAAGUUCCUCAUCUCCAUCUGAGACCAGCUUGGCUAUCUCUGUCCAUAUUACUGUCAGCAUUUUUGUCAAAAUCAUUCAACAAGUCUCUAGGAAGUUCCAAACCUUCCCUCAUCUUCCUAUCUUCUUUUGAACCCUCCAAACUGCUCGAACCUUUGUACAUUACUCAGUUCCAAAGCUGCUUCCACAUUUUCAGGUUUCAUUAUAGCAAUGCCUCACUAUUUGGUACAAAUUUUCUGUAUUAGUCCCUUCUCACACUGCUAUAAAGACAUACCUGAGACUGGGUAAUUUAUGAAGAAAAGGUGUUUAAUUGACUCACCAUUCUGCAGGUUGUACCAGAAGCAGGGCUGAGGAGGCCUUAGGAAACUUAAAAUCAUGGCGGAAGGCAAAGGGGAAACAGGUACAUUUUCUCAUGGCCAGCAGAACACAGCGAGAGCAAAGUGGGAGGUGCUACACACUUUCAAACAACCAGAUCUGGUGAGAACUCUAUCACAAGAACAGGAAGGUGGAAGUCCGCCCCCAUGAUUCAAUCACCUCCUACCAGGCCCCUCCUUCAACACUGGGAAUUGCAAUUCAACAUGAGAUUUGGAUGGGGAAACAGAGCCAAACCAUAUUAGGGUCUUUAAGAGGUAAUAAGUUAAAAUGGAGUUAUUAGGGUGGCCCAUAAUUCUACAGAACUGAUGUCCUUGUAAGAAGGGGAAGAGACACCAGAAGUGCCAGCACAGAGGAAAGGUCCUGUAGGAACACGGGCUAAAGACAGCCAUCUACAAGCCAGGGAGAGAGGCCCCAGAAGAAACCAAAGCCACAAAUACCUUCUCUUGGACUUUCAGCCUCCAAAGCUGUGAGAAAAUACAUUUCUGUUGUUUAAGCCACCCAAGUCAGUCUGUGGUACUUUGUUAUGGCUGCCCUAGCAGAUGAAUUCAGAAGUCAAAUGUAUAUGGCUUUGAAGCCACAGAGGAAGGUGAGAUUAUCUGACCAGAGAUCCAAGGUGAAAGGGGUGGAGAGCUAUGGGGUAAAUCACUUUACAGAGUGGGUAUAGGAAAAGGGCCUGUGAAUAACACAGAGAAGAAUCAAGAUAAAGCAGAGUUAAAGAUGACAAGGGAAGACAGAGUUCUUUGCUUCUUUUAUUUUGGGUUCACAUCUCUUAAUUUUGUGUUCACUUUUGUUAAGGUCAUCCUCAGCAUUUAUACUCUCUCUCCUUUUGUGCCCCCAUGGACCAAGUUAAGAAGGUGUAGGCUUCAAAUCUGAAGAUUGGUCACCACAAAAUUCAAAGAGACAAGGUCUUUGUCUGUUGCUCAGGAUGGAGUGUAGCGGUGCCAUCGCACACUAUAAUCUUAAAUUUCUGGACUACUGGCAUACACCACCAUGCUUAGCUAAUUGUUUCUUAUUUUUUGUAGUGACAGGGUCUUACUAUGUUGCCCAGGCUGGUCUCAAACUCCUGACCUCAGGUGAUCCUCCCACCUUAGCCUCCCAAAAUGCUAGGAUUAUAGGCAUGAGCCACCAUGCCCAGCCUACUUUUUUUUUUUUUUUUUUUUUUUUUUGAGAUAGAGUCUUGCUCUGCAGCCCAGGCUGGAGCGCAGUGGCUUCAUCUCGGUUUACUGCAGCCUCCCGGGUUCAAGCGAUUCUCCUGCCUCAACCCCCAGUUAACUGGGUCUACAGGCACCUACCACCACACUCAGCUAAUUAUUGUGGGGUUUCUUUUGUUUUUUGUUGUUGUUGUUUGUUUGUUUUUUGUUUUGAGACAGAGUCUCACUCUGUCGCCCAGGCUGGAGUGCAAUGGCACAAUCUCAGCUCACUGCUACCUCUGUUUCCUGGGCUCAAGCAAUUCUCCUGCCUCAGCCUCCUGAGUAGCUGGGACCACAGGCGCCAGCCACCACAUCUGGCUAACUUUUGUAUUUCGAGUAGAGAUGGGGUUUCACCAUGUUGGCCAGGCUGGUCUCGAACUCCUGACCUUGUAAUAUGACCGCCUCGGCUUCCCAAAGUGCUGGAAUUACUGGCAUGAGCCACCGUGCCCGGCCCACCAGCCUACUUUUAAUGGUAAUUUUGAAAAUGACAGUUGACCUGGUAGCCUUUGGGGAUGUUUGUGUUCUUCCUCCCAGCAAAUCGCCUUCCAUGGGCAACAGGCACUGCUCCUCUCUCAUGUGUCAGAAAAUCAGUCUGAAACUAGCUAUCAAAGCAUACAAUAGUCUAUCACGUUGACCAUCACAUUAUUUGUUGUGACGUGGGAGAACUCCCCUGUUUUCUCAAAUCUCUGUCUGCUAAGAAUUAGGAACCAUUUCUAUGUAAUAAAAAAAUAUUGCUCACCAGAAAAUAUAUUCUACUUUCCUGUGGAAGAAAACUUAUGACAUUGAACUUGAUAAAAAGCCAUUUUCACAAGCUCAAAUAAAACCAGCCUUCUCCAUCUCCCCUCCCACCUCUAUUGGCUCAAGUAUGAGCAACUGAAGGAUACCACGCUGCAAAGGAGAUGUUGGGCUUUAGGCUGAAGCAAAUCCGGGAUAACCAGAGUUAAUCAAAUUCUUUAUAAAAAAAAAUGAAUUG